Lactuca sativa (garden lettuce) is the source of this 107-nucleotide small nucleolar RNA. Lineage: Eukaryota; Viridiplantae; Streptophyta; Magnoliopsida; Asterales; Asteraceae. The record is from RefSeq and is a predicted model, not a curated record.
AAGUCAUGUUGAGGGAAACUUCUUAGCAAGCCCUUUUAUCUCUCCCAAGCUUCAUAUAACAACUCUCCUGCCUCAUGUUGGAAGUUAGCAAUCUUCUUUUUGAGAUU